AGAGUUUGAUCCUGGCUCAGAUUGAACGCUUGCGGCAUGCCUUACACAUGCAAGUCGAACGGUAACGCGGGGCAACCUGGCGACGAGUGGCGAACGGGUGAGUAAUACAUCGGAACGUGCCCAGUGGUGGGGGAUAGCCCGGCGAAAGCCGGAUUAAUACCGCAUACGACCUACGGGUGAAAGCAGGGGAUCGCAAGACCUUGCGCCAUUGGAGCGGCCGAUGUCAGAUUAGGUAGUUGGUGGGGUAAAGGCCUACCAAGCCGACGAUCUGUAGCUGGUCUGAGAGGACGACCAGCCACACUGGGACUGAGACACGGCCCAGACUCCUACGGGAGGCAGCAGUGGGGAAUUUUGGACAAUGGGCGCAAGCCUGAUCCAGCCAUGCCGCGUGCGGGAAGAAGGCCUUCGGGUUGUAAACCGCUUUUGUCAGGGAAGAAACGCUCCGGGCUAAUACCUCGGGGUAAUGACGGUACCUGAAGAAUAAGCACCGGCUAACUACGUGCCAGCAGCCGCGGUAAUACGUAGGGUGCAAGCGUUAAUCGGAAUUACUGGGCGUAAAGCGUGCGCAGGCGGUCUUGCAAGACAGAUGUGAAAUCCCCGGGCUUAACCUGGGAACUGCAUUUGUGACUGCAAGGCUGGAGUGCGGCAGAGGGGGAUGGAGUUCCGCGUGUAGCAGUGAAAUGCGUAGAUAUGCGGAGGAACACCGAUGGCGAAGGCAAUCCCCUGGGCCUGCACUGACGCUCAUGCACGAGAGCGUGGGGAGCAAACAGGAUUAGAUACCCUGGUAGUCCACGCCCUAAACGAUGUCAACUGGUUGUUGGGAAGGUUCCUUCUCAGUAACGUAGCUAACGCGUGAAGUUGACCGCCUGGGGAGUACGGCCGCAAGGUUGAAACCCAAAGGAAUUGACGGGGACCCGCACAAGCGGUGGAUGAUGUGGUUUAAUUCGAAGCAACGCGAAAAACCUUACCUACCCUUGACAUGUCUGGAAUUUUGCAGAGAUGUGAAGGUGCUCGAAAGAGAACCAGAACACAGGUGCUGCAUGGCCGUCGUCAGCUCGUGUCGUGGGAUGUUGGGUUAAGUCCCGCAACGAGCGCAACCCUUGUCAUUAGUUGCUACGAAAGGGCACUCUAAUGAGACUGCCGGUGACAAACCGGAGGAAGGUGGGGAUGACGUCAGGUCAUCAUGGCCCUUAUGGGUAGGGCUACACACGUCAUACAAUGGCCGGUACAGAGGGUUGCCAACCCGCGAGGGGGAGCCAAUCCCAGAAAACCGGUCGUAGUCCGGAUCGCAGUCUGCAACUCGACUGCGUGAAGUCGGAAUCGCUAGUAAUCGCGGAUCAGCUUGCCGCGGUGAAUACGUUCCCGGGUCUUGUACACACC
RNAcentral lists this ribosomal RNA (1380 nucleotides) under metagenome. Its description in RNAcentral is "bacterial SSU rRNA". It matches the Rfam family "Bacterial small subunit ribosomal RNA". The record is from RNAcentral.